This is a non-coding RNA of Chlorocebus sabaeus (green monkey), 101 nucleotides long. It matches the Rfam family "Mitochondrial DNA control region secondary structure A". The record is from Rfam. NCBI's taxonomy places the organism in Eukaryota, Metazoa, Chordata, Mammalia, Primates, Cercopithecidae.
GUCUUUUAUAUUGUACAAACCCUACAGUACAACUCAAGCACCUUUACAUAAAUAUGCUAUGUAAUUCGUGCAUUACUGCUAGCCAACAUGUAUAAUAUAUA